Molecule: long non-coding RNA, 11423 nt
Filed under: Phoenix dactylifera (date palm)
Lineage: Eukaryota; Viridiplantae; Streptophyta; Magnoliopsida; Arecales; Arecaceae
Description: long non-coding RNA (PDAC_LNC006838)
Source: RNAcentral
GAAGCAAAAGACUUGUUUCUUUUACAGCUAAGAACAAGAGCACCUGCAACCAAGAGACCAGGUGAAAUGAUGAACGCUUGUUUCACUUGUCUCCACUUUACUUACCGGAACAUACAAACGCAGCCUCCUCAUAUAACAGAGAAAGGGAGUACCAUUUUAUUGACAGGUUACAUCUCAAAAGAACUUACCGAGUUUAUCGAUAAACCUUAUUCCGCAGCUACCCGAGUUCCAGCCAUCUAUGUAACUUUGAAGAGAGGAGGAAGAUGAAGAGUGUGGCCCUCUAGUUCAUCCAAAAGACCCGCCUCUCUGUAGCAUUCAACAGCAUCAGUGAGAGUUUCUUCUAGAGGCCUCCAUUUCCAACCCAACUUCUUUAGUUUCUCUGAGGUCAGCGGGGCACUUGGUGGUACGUCAACGAUACUGCAAUUCGAAAUAAAGUAAAAAUUAAGAUUGAAGUGGAAAUAUUCAUGGUACUCCUCACAUAAAAAGUUGGAAUGGAACGAACUUCUUCUGGUAACCAUAGUUAGGAUACAUGCCCUUCAGCAAGUCAACCAACUCUCGAAUAGUAAUUGGAGAAGCUGCACAAAUGUAUCUUCCAGAUGAUUCUGGCUUCUCGUAUACUAGAAGCAAUGCAUCGGCAACAUCUCGAACGUCUACAAAAUGCCAGAGGUAGUCCAACAUGGGCUCUGGACCUCCUGUUAUGAAAUCAUGCAGAAAAAAAAAAUGCUGAAGUCGGAGAACUCAAACCCAAGAACAAAAAUCACUAGUGUUAUAUAGAGCUUAAUUUUUAAUAGAGUUGUAUGUCCUCAAAAUUUAACGCAGCAAUCUAGACCAGAUUGCAAUUAUAUUUGAUAUUAUUUAUAUAUGUCACUAGAUAGAGAAAGAUCGAGCCCAUUUUUCUCUGCAUAGAUUAGAAACAAGCUGUGUGUACAGGACUGUGUGUAAAGGAGGACCUUUUGUAGCAUAGAUUAGAAACAAGCUGCUAGCGCUCGCUGUAGGUUGCAGCAAUGGUCCUAAAACCACUGACGGGCAAACAGUUACAAGAUCGAGCCCAUUUUUCUCUGCAUACUCCCAAGCUGCAUGUUCGGCCAUCGUCUUCGAAAGGCAAUACCAGUUCUACAAAAGCAAGUAAAGGAUUAAACUUGGAUUGUUAUUUUGGCUCUAUAACGCCAGCCUACACAAGCAUUGUUCUUGCAUUAGUGAUAGAAUCUUCCACCUACAAUAAUUAACUCAUGGAUAAAAUCACAAAAUUUUAUGAUGAUAAUUAAGGAUUUUGGCAAAUAAAGCGCACGUUAAGGAUUCAGUGAUGGUUCUGUAGUUUGUCAAUGUACUCAAAGCUAUGCAUGGCCACCUCACCUCUUAAAAGAGGUGGAUUUAGCUUAAAUCUCUGACUGUUCCAUGGACCUUGUAACCAUUGGAGAGGAGGAGCUUCCAUGUUGUUUCAUAUUAUAAUCUGUCAAAGAAACAAAAGGGGUUUGCAGGGCAUGUACAGGCCAACUUAAAUAAAAAGUUCAGUUUAACCCUUGGAGCAACAGUAUCUAGAAAAGAUCAAACCUGAUUUCCGCACAAACCAAAUAACCUACAACACAAAAGCUACAGCCAUAACUGUGAAGGAACGACAAUAGAUUAAUUAGAGGAUGGCCCAAGUUAACCUAAACGGAAACUGUUGAAAACCAUAUUAAUAGAAUUACACUACUGAUAAAUAUGUUUGUUGGCAGAAAUAAGGGCAUAAUAAAAAAAUCUAACAUUGAUGGUGAUCAUGAAUGGGUACGGUUGCUUAGUUUUAUUAUCUUAAACAUCUGAAAGACAUUUAUCCAGCCAUAGUUACUAAGAAUCAUGUGACCACUUGUAGGCCGUAAGGGAGUCUGUCGAGCACUAGGUUCACAUGUUCCUGUAAUAGUUCUUGAUACGUAAGCUGGAAAAUUAUUUUGGAGAAGCAAUAUGAAGUUUUCUAUUUUACUACAAGAAUUGUGAUGCUAAUUAACCACAUCGAUCGAGACAUAGAUCCCAAGAAAGACUGGCUAGGUGGUUCAAGAAAAGUGAUUAAUGAAUUUGGGCCAUGAAUCCUGUUAUGGUGUGUCUUCUAUCAGAGGAUGCACUGCUAAAAGAGUCUCUCCAACUGGACGCUCAGCCUUGGGGCUGAGGCCCACCGUGCAGGCUAGAGACAUUAGGUGUAGCAUGCAUGCAUGCUUGUGCUCUUGUUCUAGGGCUUUUAUGUGUGGCAAGUUUUAAAGCAUUGUAUCGGAGAUUUUUCUUCUUUGUACUCUUCCAUCCAUAGCGAGGUUCUUCCGAUCGUCUCUGCUCGUGGAUGCAGGCCAUGUAAAUGGUUGUCUCUUUGUAUUCCGUUUAUUUAUUAACCCUAGAUCUAGCUUCUUAGCAUAACACAAUAUAUGGUAAGUAUGAAGCAUAUUGGUGAUCAUCAUGCUACUUUGUGAUCCAAUAAGAAUUGUUAGUUAAGUAUCUUCCAUUCAAGUUGAGUCAAAGUAUUCAAUUGUGUACCUGAUUCUAUUAAAGAACAAAAAGUAAAAUACUUUGUUUCAUUUUACAAGAAAAGAUAGAAACAAAAGCUCCAAUGAUCAAAAUAGUCACCUCAAUCUUCCUGCAAAAUUCUUCAGACGACCAACACUUCUCAUCCUUGAGCUUAUCAAGUGGCCAAUGUGGAUUCAGUAAAACGGCAGCAAUUGAUGACACCACAAUCACCCGUUUGAUUUUCAUCUCCGAACAUGCUUGAAGUACAUUUAGAGUGCCGUUAACAGCGGGAGUGAUCAACUCUAACUGCAAGGUGAUAUAUGGAGAUAAAAAAGAUUCAAAGAAAAAGACCAGAUGUCAAGUUCCCCAAGGAACAAAAGGUGUAUACAAUGCUAAUCAAAACUCUGUAUGUCCUUCCCUUCAUUGUAUCCCUAUAUGAAACAACUGACUCGGUAUUUCCUAAUACUGUACAUGAAUAUCAGCAUCGAUAAUUUCAAAAUUUGAUCUCUUACAUAUCUAAGCAUAUGAAAGACUUGCCUCUGGAUCAAGGACUUUGGUUACAGGGACAGGACUAGCCACAUGGAAGACUCCUUCACAUCCUGCAAAGGCUGCUUUUAAAGUGUCGUAGUGAAGCACGUCCGCUUUGAAGAGUUGAAGGUUUUCAGAGGCCUUCUCAAAUUUCCUCAAGUGAGCGUUCUUUUCAUCACCUGGAACAAAUGUUCAGAAAAUUUAUUCUACGNNNNNNNNNNNNNNNNNNNNNNNNNNNNNNNNNNNNNNGUAUGGUAUUGCUUUGUCAUGAGAUGCUCUAAAUCAAUAUUCUCCGUUUAGUAUGAUUAAAAGACAGAAUCCUUUUUUACUGUAAUGAUUUUAUUUGUUAUCUCCAAUGAGUCUUGCAAUUUUCCAAGCAUUCUUCAGAAAUCAACGUGGGCAUGAUAUCAUCAGUCCCUUCUGAUCUGCUUCUUCAUCUACUGGCAACUCGAACAAGAUCACCACUUAGCCUUGUAUCUUCGCACCAGCACUUGGAUGCUGACAAACUGAAAGUAUUUUUCUGCUCUGCUCUUAUAUUCUUGGAAAAAGACGACCACUUUCAUUUAGGAGCCGAAAGCGCGUACAGGAAACCAGAAGGCAGAAGAGAAACAAAAGAGAAGACAAGGGAGAAAUCUUCUGAAAUGAUCCGAAAUAAAAUUGAAGAAUAGACAGGAAAACAAAAGGUGAUUCACGGUCCUCCUAUCUUGAAAAAAACUCGGAAUUUUCGGAUCAUCAUGCCUUUCUUGAUGUUCUUUUGAUAUUUGAAGUCUCCAAAUACUGAAACCUUACAGAAAUCCAAGUUCUAACAUGCAAAACCAAACUCACAAAACACCGCGUACUCGUACAGUACACACAAAAAAAUGAUUUAUUUUUUACGCGUGCAGACGAAAGAAAAAAAAUCUUAGAGCACUACGGUUCAAACAAAGAAAGAGCAGCGCAGCAGCAGCAGUAGUAGUAGUAGUAGAGGGAAGAGCAUUACUUAAAUCUCUGACUGUUCCAUGGACCUUGUAACCAUUGGAGAGGAGGAGCUUCACCAGCCAUGAGCCCACGUAUCCUCCGGCACCCGUCACACACACCUUCCCUUUCUCUUCUACCACCUCCAUUGCUCCCCCUAUCUCUCCCCUCUCCGGUCUUUAUUUUAAUCUCCCAUGAGAUGCCAGAAGCGGCCGUUGUAGUCCACGCAUCUCCUUUUCAAUCCUUUUUGUUUGGUAAAUCUCCUUUUCAAUCCUUAUUUUUUUGGUAAAUCUCCUUUUCAAUCCUUCGGAAUAGUCCAAAUGUUUGGCAGAAAAGGUGGCGACAUGCGUGGCCCUCCGUGCGGUAGCUCAUUUAUAAUUCCAAAUGUUUGGCUUAAGUGGCUGGCUCUAUCUCAAGCACUUCCGUCUCUGAGUUCGAGCUAGAGCUCAAUUAAAAUUUAAAACUAAACAGGCCCUAACAUAAUCUCUUAAAAAAAAAAAAUUAUUUCAUGACUAUUAAAUUUAGCCAUGUCCAUUACAUUAUAAGACCUGUAAAUGGUCUUCGAGGAUCCAGUGGUGGUGGGAAGCCAUUGGAGUUGGGUAUGAGCUGUGACUAGAUCUUCUUUUAACAAAAUUCAUAAUUUCAACAAACUUCAAGGAGCCUUAAUCCUUACCUAUCUCUGCCGGGAAAAAAAAAAUCUUUUUGGUGGUUAAAAACAAAAUAGCCAUGCUAACCUAUGCUUCUUAAUUAAUCAAUAGUAUCUCUCCUCCUUUUAUUUUAUAUCGACUAUAUAAUUAUUCAACAAAUAUGUAUGAGCUGUUCUAAGGGAGCUUUUAAAAUGGCAUAAUUAAUUAGUUGAUGUUCUUAUCCAGGGUGAAGUCUCCUCCUCAUCACAUUCUUUGUUGAGUUCCAUGAGGAUGAUUAAUUGUCAUCAGCAGGUGCCACACUGGCAGGGCAGGAAAAAUCUAAAACAACUUUGUACGUUGAUAGGAAAAGUAAACUAUGGCGAAACAAAUGUUUUCUUAGAGUUAAUUAACUGCAUUUUCAAAGCAUCCUAAUCUUUAUCUCACCAUCAAUCGAUCAAUAAUCCAAGUGUUAGUUAAUUUUACUUAUUGUCAAUCCUUGGUUGGCCACCUGAUGGAUUCGGCAGUCAAGGCCUGCAAGCAUUAGGGUGUGACCGAGAAGGAUGAACAAGCCCCCUUGAGUUGGUCUCGGGCCCGUCGUCCGCCCAUUUCGGGCCGAGUUGCUCUAGGAACCGACCAAGCUCACUAGAGUCGCUGCCGAACUUGGAUGGAUGGCAGAAACCCACCAAGAUGGCGCGGAGGAGGUCAUUGGAGAAGUGGUUUCUAGUUAGUAACUUGGCGAUGUCUGGUGAUAAGUUGACUCGAUUCGCCAUGGGUGCUAGGUUCGGAGCGAUUCAGGGGUCUAGAGAAGGUCGGGCCUGAGGGCCGAGCCUGCGGGACCAGGCUGAGGCUAGGUCAAUGCUGAUAUGACGGAGGUGGGAUCCAGGCCUGACCUAAUGAAGCGAGCUAGAAGCCCCCCAAGGCCCGUGCUGAGGGUGGACUAGCGAAGAGUGGACCGGGCCUCUUGGGCCCCUCCAAGAUCCUCGAGGAGAGUAGGCUGAAGGAUGGGCGACACACACCCUCCCUUUCUCUCCUGUCGCCUCUAUUUCUCCCCUUAUCUCUCUCCUCUCCGGUCUUUAUUUGUGUGGACUUAUUUUAAUCUCACAAGAGACGCCAAAAUGGCUAUUUAUUUAUGUGGAUUUAUUUUAGGGUUCUUUGUACAUAUUUUUGCAAACCAUUUGUUUUGCUAUUCUAUCUUUUUUUUAAUCCGUGUUUUUGCACAUGCACUUACACCAUCUAAUGCCGUUAAAAAGUUAACGGUUUCAAAUUUAAAUGACUAAAAUAUUCUUAAUGGGUAAAUGUGCAAAAAGAAACAUUUAUAUGGGUAUACAAAGAGAGAGCAAUUUUAUAAAGAUAUUUAUGCAAUUCUGCAUAUUUAGGAGGAUAUAUAUUAAAAAAAAAAUUUAAUAGACAUAUUAAUAAAUCUGUGACGAUCGAGCCAGAGCUCCGGUGGUGGCGGCACCGUCACCCACCGGGCCUAGGCGUUCUGGUCCUUGGCCCGCAGCACCUAGAGCCUACUCGUUAUCCUCUGGUACAGAGUCGUCAGCAGGCUCGAGUCGGCGUGGAAGCCAUGCCCAUGGCCCGUUCAGGGUUCAGGCACGCCAGACACGAGUUAAUCGUAGCUCGCUAGCCAAGUCCGGUAUCAAUUCCCCAGUUUGGCCGGCCCACUCGACCUCCUCAUCCUGGAGGCCCAGUGAGAGAAGCAUCAGCCUUAUCAACCUCCCGGGGAGAGCCUUCAUCUCUCUCAAUCGUAUCGUUCUAUCAUAUCACUACACAGGAAAAAAAAAAAGCGUAGCACUAGUUAACAGGUAGGGUUGCCAUGACACGGCGCGAGGGGGCAUGUAGGCACGUACCAGCAUUGGUCCGGGUCCUGGGGCCAAAGCUUGCGAGAGGGAGCCCGCGAUGGUGAAGCCCUCAACCACAUGGGCUUGGCGAAGGAGGAGGAGAUGGGGACGAGGCCAUAGCCGGAGAUGCCGUUGGUCGGGGCAGGUUGCCUUGAGCUUCUGCUAGGUUGGGAGCUAUAUGAAAUNNNNNNNNNNNNNNNNNNNNNNNNNNNNNNNNNNNNNNNNNNNNNNNNNNNNNNNNNNNNNNNNNNNNNNNNNNNNNNNNNNNNNNNNNNNNNNNNNNNNNNNNNNNNNNNNNNNNNNNNNNNNNNNNNNNNNNNNNNNNNNNNNNNNNNNNNNNNNNNNNNNNNNNNNNNNNNNNNNNNNNNNNNNNNNNNNNNNNNNNNNNNNNNNNNNNNNNNNNNNNNNNNNNNNNNNNNNNNNNNNNNNNNNNNNNNNNNNNNNNNNNNNNNNNNNNNNNNNNNNNNNNNNNNNNNNNNNNNNNNNNNNNNNNNNNNNNNNNNNNNNNNNNNNNNNNNNNNNNNNNNNNNNNNNNNNNNNNNNNNNNNNNNNNNNNNNNNNNNNNNNNNNNNNNNNNNNNNNNNNNNNNNNNNNNNNNNNNNNNNNNNNNNNNNNNNNNNNNNNNNNNNNNNNNNNNNNNNNNNNNNNNNNUCUCUCUCUCUCUCUCUCUCUCUCUCUCUCUCUAUAUAUAUAUAUAUAUAUAUAUAUCAAGAUCAAAACAACGCCCUGCAGUAUAUUUUUAUAAUCUGUUACUUUUUCCCAUUUAACUUCUUAGAUGAUGAAGCCUAGUAGCAGCAGAGUGUACAAGACUGAGUUUGCAAGUUGAAAUCCAUGAUACUGAAAAAGAUGGAGCAAGAUUUUGUCUCCCUUUUAUUCUUGUUAAAAAAAUUCAAGGAACCAAAAAACGUGAAACCAUAUUAAAGGCCAAAAAAAAUAAAAAAACUUUGAAACUUGUGCCACAUGGCUCUUUGAUAUUAAAUUAUAUCAUUCAGAUAUGCAUGUUAUUUGUCUCUAUCCAACAUCACCCACGUGACUCUUGCGAGACACUAUUCUCCUAAAAUUUUGGACUUGCAUGUAUUUAUGUGAUCUUAAAACCAACAAGAGUUCCGCUUGCCAUGUGACUUGAGAUCUAGACCUUGUUUCGAUGCAUGUUUGUUUUUUUUUUUUGGUACAUAUGCUACUGUUCUUCAAGACAAUUUCUCAUUCAUACAUGCAGCUGGAUAUUUGCUUUCAUAAGAAAGCAAAUAUCUAGCUGCAUGUAUGAAGAGCCUUAGGUUUGUGUGUGCAGACCUCGGCAUUGUUUAUGUCUUAGUUUGUACUAGUUUCCUUUUUACUCUUGUUUUCUACCAUGUUGGAAGGGCCUUGGGUAAAUGCAAUGACUUCAACUUCAGAAUGCAAUUACAUAUAAUGAGCUAAUAAAAGAAGUAACAUUGGAUUAUUUACUAUCCAACAACAAAACCAGGACAAUGCUACCUUUCUGUCUCAACAUCCAUGAAGAAAGUACUGUGUUAAAAUAUUUGCAAAGAAGAUAAAAAUAAAAGAAAAAAAGAAAGAGAGAAAAUUGAUUUUAUUUUUCUGUUCCAUUAUAUUCGAUACAUCUCAGGAAUUUUAUAUACUCGUAUACAUACUCUAUAUAAAGAAAAUAAUAUAAGCUGAUAUAUUGAUCACGCUAACAAAACAAAAAUAUUUAGGUGAUACAAGUUGUCAUAUAAUCUCUAAAAUCACUCUAAUAAAAUCAUGCUAAUAUAUACCAUCCAUACAUACUGGAGUCAGUACCAAGAAAAACUUAUGUUCAUGAGGCACCAUUUACCAGCACAAAGUAUGUGAUUAAGAAGCAAGAGGACAGCAAAGUUGGCACACAAGUGACCCAUGAGUAACCUAAAUAAUACUUUUCGGCUAGUCUUUUUGGAUAAGGUCUUGGGGUGUUACUGUUUGUAUUGCAAAACUGGGCUAAACAAGUCUCAAUAGAUAAACUUCAUCAUGGUAGGAUAUAUAUGCCUAUCAAUACAAUUAAUAUAACUUUGUUAAAUCUAUACUGCUUGUUCCGAUAGCAGUUCUAUAAAAGAAAUCAUUACAACAAGAAUUGUAUACACCUUUUGUUCCUUGGGAAACUUGACUCGUGCGAGACUUGUAUACACCUUUUGUAAAUACAGGCUCGCACGAGUCCUCACAUACUCUUUCCGUUUAAGCUCUGACGUCCUCGUCGGCCUAAGAAUUCAGAUUCAUUCAAAUCUAAUCACAAGCACCACGAUUGGCCCAUAGUUAGCCCAAUAGAUCCGUGUUGUAGUGUCCUCUAGUCCACAUAGGUUAUGGGUUGGGUCCACUCUGAUACUGUUUGUAAUAAUCCACGAUCUCACCCAAAAUGGCUAGUCGAAAGUUAUUAUUUAAGUUCCUUGAUCUUAUAUAAGUACCCAAGAUCGAUCCAACAAAUUAUCGAUAUGAGGCUAAACACAUGCCCGUGCGAAUCCUCACAUAUUCCUCCUAUUCAAGCUCCGACAUUCUCGUCAGGCUAAUGAUUCAAAUAUGUUCAAAUCUACGUCCUUGUCAGGCUAAGAGUUCAAAUUUAUUCAAAUCUAAUCACAAGCACCACGAUCGGCCCGUGGUCAGCUUUAAUAGAUCCGUGCUGUAAUGUUCCCUAGUCCACAUAGGUUUUGGGCCGGGUCUGCUCUAAUACCACUUGUAACAUCCCAAGACCUCAUUUAAAAAAGUUAGCCGGAAGGUAUUAUUUGAAAUUCAAAAGACUUCCUAAUCAGCCGUAUGGGAAAUUUAAAUUCAAACUUUUUCCAUGCGAGUCACAUGCUAAAAUUCUAAGAUGGAAGGCUGGAUCAUUUGGGCUCGCACUUGGUUGGCCGAAGCGCGUGAUCCGUUCAUCUUUUGACAAGUGUUCGGCUAAUGUCCUCUUUGGCCAUGGAUUGCUGACUUGUCAUGCGCAUGGGGUAUUCUCCUUUGGUUUGCUUUUGUUGUAUUUGGUCGCAUGGAGAUCUCCUUCCUUAUUCUGCGCUUGCCUUUGGUUGGCACCUCGCGAAUCCUUCCUUGUUUGAAUUAUCUCAUGUGCGCGGAUGGAUGAUGUGGCACACAUACAUGAGGCGCUGAUGGUGUCUUCUUUUGGCAGCCCUUGCAGCUCCUUAGUUGUCCACUGGUGUCCUUCCUUGUUUGCCCAUGCACAUGGAUUGCUGAAGUGGCAAAUGCAUGGGUGGCUGAUCAAUGGUCUGAUGCAUCUAAGCCCUUGCAUUCUCGAGGUCGAGCAGACAUGGAAGAAAUCCAUGCUUGGCAGAGACUCCUCCAUGGUUUGAUUGUUGGACCCAUGUCAAGUCCUUCUUUUGUAAGGACUUGGCUGCCUUGUUAGCACCUCCUAGCUGAGCUCCCUUGAUGCAUCCUAGUCAAGGUUACAAUGGAUUAUAGAGGGUGAGAGAACAUCAAAUUCUUCUACCAAUCGACAGUUAUCAGGAGGUGGAGGAAUGGGAUUUGCAGCAUCAAGAAGAAUGGUAAGCAGAGUACAGAUGACCCAAACUUCAUCAGGAGGGUGUUGGAUUAGUUUUUCAGAUCUAGAUGGACAGACCAACCCGAAGGUUGGAUAGCAUCAAGCGAACUAUCUUCGGCAUUGAGAGUUUUGGAGGAGGAGAAUGCAAUGUUGGUAAGUUCGAUCUCAAAUGUAGAAAUCAAGGAGGCUUUAUGGUCACUGGCUGAGGAAAAGGCUCUAGGUCCGGAUAGUUUCCCCCCAGCCUUCUUUUGGAGAUAUUGGCAUAUUAUUGGCAAAAUGUAAUCGCAGCUAUUCAGCAGUUUUUCAGCACUGUAAGGAUGCCUAGCGACUGGAAGCGGACAUUCAUCAUCCUGAUUCCGAAAAGGCAAAUACCUCGGAGCUGAGCCACUAUCGUCCAUCAGCGUGUACACGACUUUGUAUAAAGUCAUUGCAAAGUUCUUGGUGAGGAGGAUAAGGGGUGUCCUGCCCAUGCUCAUUAACCCUGAGCAGGGGGUCUUUAUUGUGGGACGUAGCGUCACCGACAAUGUACUUAUCGGACAGAAGUUUAUGGCUGACCUCCAAACAAUGCGAGCAGAGGAGUUUGAUGGGCAUCAAACUCAAUAUAUAGAGGACCUAUAAUAGGAUGAGCUGGAGCUUCCUCACUCGUUCAUUGGUGAGCUUUGAAUUCCAUUAGCUAUGGAUCAGGUGGAUCUUGGGGUGCAUCCUGAACACCUCCUUUAAUUUGCCAUGCUGGUGAAUGGCAUGCCGACCCACUUCUUCGAGACCUUUGUUGGGCUGCGAAAGGGUUGUCUGCAAUCCCCUCUGUUAUUCAUCGCCUGCGCAAAUGCACUUUUCAAAUUGUUUUGACAUGCUUCCGAGAGUCGGGCGGUCGAGGCCUACAGACCGGAGGGGCCUCUUCAGAUUUUGCAUCUACUAUUUUCUGAUAAUUGCUUGCUACUGGCCCGAGCGACGAGACAAUCAACUGCAAUUCGGAGGGUUUUAGAGGAUUAUUAUUGGGCAUCUGGGCAGAAAGUGAACUUGGCAAAGUUAGCUAUCUGGUUCAGUCUAAGGAUCAAGUCGAGGCUGAAGAGCUCCAUAAGAUGAGGCAGGUCUUUUAGGCACCCUAGCUCUUUCUAAUUCCACCAACGCCUGAUUCUUUUAGUUUCACAGAUCCUAAACUCCCCCAUCAUCAUCCCAGGAGGAGGUGGUGGGGCGGCAGCUAAUGGUGGCAGCGGCCGCAGUCAAAGGGAAAGCAACCACAGAGAGGGAGCAGGGACGUAUGAACCUAUUUGCUCUCUAAACCUAGCAACUAACUUUUAGUUUGGUUUUAUUUGGCCAAGGAUUUUUUUGACAGAUUUCACCCAAACAAGGCAAAGGAAUGCCAUCCAUUACCAAAAGACUUGUUUCUUUUACAGCUAAGAACAAGAGCAUCUGCAACCAAGAGACCAGGUGAAAUGAUGAACGCUUGUUUCACUUGUCUCCACUUUACCGGAACAUACACACGCAGCCUCCUCAUAUAACAGAGAAAGGGAGUACCAUUUUAUUGGC